GCUAAUACCGGAUAACAACAGAUGAUGCCUAUCAACUGUUUAAAAGAAUGGUUCUGCUAUCACUCUUGGAUGGACCUGCGGUGCAUUAGCUAGUUGGUAGGGUAACGGCCUACCAAGGCGAUGAUGCAUAGCCGAGUUGAGAGACUGAUCGGCCACAUUGGGACUGAGACACGGCCCAAAACUCCUACGGGAGGCAGCAGUC
RNAcentral lists this ribosomal RNA (202 nucleotides) under uncultured Lactobacillus sp. Its description in RNAcentral is "partial 16S ribosomal RNA". It matches the Rfam family "Bacterial small subunit ribosomal RNA", at positions 162 to 355 of the family's 1533-position model. Lineage: Bacteria; Bacillati; Bacillota; Bacilli; Lactobacillales; Lactobacillaceae. The record is from RNAcentral.